AUUCAGCUGACGAGUCCCAAAUAGGAUGAAACGGACGUCAAACUGGAU
This is a non-coding RNA of Schistosoma rodhaini, 48 nucleotides long. Lineage: Eukaryota; Metazoa; Platyhelminthes; Trematoda; Strigeidida; Schistosomatidae. The record is from Rfam.